Non-coding RNA from Phrynosoma platyrhinos (Desert horned lizard), 72 nucleotides. The record is from the annotation of a GenBank genome assembly. Lineage: Eukaryota; Metazoa; Chordata; Lepidosauria; Squamata; Phrynosomatidae.
GUCAGUGUGGCAUAGUGGUUUGAGUGUUGUACUAUGACUCCAAAGACCAGGGUUCAAUUCCACGUUUGGCCA